Molecule: non-coding RNA, 940 nt
Organism: Antechinus flavipes (yellow-footed antechinus)
Lineage: Eukaryota; Metazoa; Chordata; Mammalia; Dasyuromorphia; Dasyuridae
Source: the annotation of a RefSeq genome assembly
AGCUGGGGAGGCAGGGGCUGGGCAGCUCAGACUCAGGCACAUAGAGAUGGGGUCCCAGGCUCAGAUGCUCUUUCUCCUGUUGUUCUGGCUCCCAGAUGCCCGAGGGGCCGUUGUGCUGACCCAGUCUCCAGCCUCCCUGGCUGCAUCUCCAGGAGAGAGAGUCACCAUGUCCUGCAGGGCCAGUCAGGGUAUUAGCACUUACCUGAACUGGUACCAACAGAAACCAGGCCAGGCCCCCAGGCUCCUCAUCUACGAUGUUUCUAACCUGGCAUCCGGGGUCCCUGCCCGGUUCAGCGGCAGUGGGUAUGGGACAGAUUUCUCCCUCACAAUCAGCAACAUGGAGGCUGAGGACGCUGCUGUCUAUUACUGUCAGCGUGGCUAUUACAAUGCUCCCACAGUGAUACAGCCCCAAACAAAAACCUCCCCCGCAGCUGCUGAGGGAGCAUCAGGGCCCCAGGGGCCUCUCCUUCCCCUCGGCUGGGCUGGGGGCAGCUUGUCUGGGCUGCCUCGGGGGAGGUUUCUGGGUCUCAGAGGAAGAUGCUGGGGCUGUGAGAAUACUGCCCUGAUUUAUUUUCCAGCCAAGAAUCCACCAAAAUGAAUCCACAGAGUAGCUGGUCCUGAAAUAGGAGUCUCGUCCCCCAUGUCCAUCACUUCUCUGCCAGGAGGGGGCAGCACACUUCAUCAUUGGUCCCCUGGAGAGAAAUGAUUGGUCAUUUUAGGGUCAGGAUUUCUCCCUCAUCUCUGCUGGAUCCUUCCCCAGAUCCUGCCCUCUAACUGUAGGUGUCCCUCGGGGCUCUAUCUCGGCCCCCAUUCUCUUCUCCUCUAUAUCACUUCCCUUGGUGACAUCAUCAGCUCCCAUGGAUUGAAUUUUCAUUGCUUUGCUGAGAAGUCACAGAUCUCCCUCUCUUGCCCCAUCUCUCUCCCACCCUCCAAGCUGGCA